Non-coding RNA from Gossypium hirsutum (cotton), 107 nucleotides. Lineage: Eukaryota; Viridiplantae; Streptophyta; Magnoliopsida; Malvales; Malvaceae. The record is from Rfam.
AUGCCGUGAUGAGGGCAAUUUCGUAGUAACUCCUUAAACCACUCCUAUGCCUCAGAUAAAGAUUUUCCAUAAAGUUGCUGAAAUGAAGUGAUUUCAUUUCAGAUAUU